RNAcentral lists this non-coding RNA (45 nucleotides) under Echinostoma caproni. The record is from RNAcentral. Lineage: Eukaryota; Metazoa; Platyhelminthes; Trematoda; Plagiorchiida; Echinostomatidae.
GCACUGCUGACGAGUCCCAAACAGGACUAAACAGUUGUCCAGUGC